This 643-nucleotide ribosomal RNA is filed under the name uncultured Serratia sp. Its description in RNAcentral is "bacterial SSU rRNA". It matches the Rfam family "Bacterial small subunit ribosomal RNA", at positions 873 to 1516 of the family's 1533-position model. The record is from RNAcentral. Lineage: Bacteria; Pseudomonadati; Pseudomonadota; Gammaproteobacteria; Enterobacterales; Yersiniaceae.
CUGGGGAGUACGGCCGCAAGGUUAAAACUCAAAUGAAUUGACGGGGGCCCGCACAAGCGGUGGAGCAUGUGGUUUAAUUCGAUGCAACGCGAAGAACCUUACCUACUCUUGACAUCCAGAGAACUUUCCAGAGAUGGAUUGGUGCCUUCGGGAACUCUGAGACAGGUGCUGCAUGGCUGUCGUCAGCUCGUGUUGUGAAAUGUUGGGUUAAGUCCCGCAACGAGCGCAACCCUUAUCCUUUGUUGCCAGCGGUUCGGCCGGGAACUCAAAGGAGACUGCCAGUGAUAAACUGGAGGAAGGUGGGGAUGACGUCAAGUCAUCAUGGCCCUUACGAGUAGGGCUACACACGUGCUACAAUGGCGCAUACAAAGAGAAGCGACCUCGCGAGAGCAAGCGGACCUCAUAAAGUGCGUCGUAGUCCGGAUUGGAGUCUGCAACUCGACUCCAUGAAGUCGGAAUCGCUAGUAAUCGUAGAUCAGAAUGCUACGGUGAAUACGUUCCCGGGCCUUGUACACACCGCCCGUCACACCAUGGGAGUGGGUUGCAAAAGAAGUAGGUAGCUUAACCUUCGGGAGGGCGCUUACCACUUUGUGAUUCAUGACUGGGGUGAAGUCGUAACAAGGUAACCAAGGGCGAAUUCCAG